This 839-nucleotide unclassified non-coding RNA is filed under the name Hevea brasiliensis (rubber tree). Lineage: Eukaryota; Viridiplantae; Streptophyta; Magnoliopsida; Malpighiales; Euphorbiaceae. The record is from RNAcentral.
GCUGGUGCUGAUGGUUGAGUGGCAGCAUCAUCAUCAGGACUAACUUUAUAAAAACGAUAGUUCUCAAACCUCAAAUUGCAGCUGGGUUUGAUCACUCUCCCUCCUAGCUUUCCGUCACAACAAUAUGGAAUAUCCCGAACAGCUGCAACUAUGCAGUCGUUACAAUCCUGCUCAGAUAUAUCAGGAGUACACUGCACAAGUGCAAAUAUGGUCUCAAAUCCUGCGCUCUCAUUUCCUGUCGCAAACUUUCGUGUAGAGUUUCCUGAUGCAGCUUUGCUUCGAAGUCUGCUCAAUAACCCUUGCAGUGCCUGAUUGAACUGAUUGACAUCUGAUGCAUUUUGUGUGUUCCACAUGUGAACAGUAGGCUGUGUUUCCUGGACACUGAAAAUUGAUCUGUUUGAGUAUCGUAACAUGCAGGAAUCAUAAAACCCGAUUACCUCCUUUUGGUUGGGACAAGCUUGAAGGAUUUGACGAGUAGAGUUUCUGAUGCAGCCUCGACAUUCAUCCAGCGAAACAUCUCCUCUACAAAGUGCGAUUGCAUUUACCUGAUCUGGGUUUUCGCCAAGAGAGAGAUUGUAAAAACCAUAGUGGCUUUCGUUGUUGGAGACGAUGGAGGAGAGGAGACUGUUGAGGUUUCUUUUGUAGGUGCUGUUAGUUGUGUAAUUUCCUAUGCUAUUCAUACAAAACUGAGCUCUGGUUAGAAUAACAACGUGCAAGAAAAAGAAAUAAAAGCAAAGCAGCAAUCUUAAAGAUUGCAUAGGCAGUCUGCUCAUUUUUUAAUUUUCCUGAUGAGAUCAGUCUUCUUGAUGAAGCUUUUCUAUAGAGAGAAUGAUCUUCUC